Carassius auratus (goldfish) is the source of this 1494-nucleotide long non-coding RNA. RefSeq lists it as uncharacterized. Lineage: Eukaryota; Metazoa; Chordata; Actinopteri; Cypriniformes; Cyprinidae. The record is from RefSeq and is a predicted model, not a curated record. The transcript has 3 exons.
GUUCACCUUAGUUGAACUUGUGUGAUCUAGUUCACGGUAGUGUAAGGCUUUUCGUCCGUUGGCUGUUGGGAGGAUGAACAUCUCUUCUUGAUCAUUACAAAAACCAAACUAACGUUACCCUUAAAAGACGCAGUGUGUCGUCAUGUUUUUUGUGUGUAGAUGAGAAGGUUUUGAUAGUUUGCUCGCAGACAUACUGCAUUAACGGUCGUGUGUAAACCUCCGCGCGACAGAACAUUUCAGCCUGAACUUGGAGAAUAAAAACGGUCGUCGUGAUUUACCCAACGACUCCCUUCAAGUUUCUUUUGUUUGUUUGUUUUGCCGUUGGCCGUUUCUAACGACAGCUAAAGGAGCACGAAUGACCCAGACGAGGCUGAGAAGCGGACUCAAGCGAAUAAUUGGGGCUUGAAAUGGCGAAAAUCUCUUUCGGACUCAACCCAGAGAUGGAAUGUACGUCCUCCUUUUAUCUGGUUCGGGGAUUUUGGAUGACACUGACAGACAUGUGUGUUGCAGGACCACGCAGGUGAGAAACAAUUUGACAAACUGAAGUGACCAACAGCACACCCUUGCAGCACCACUCCAUGCCAGAAUAAGCCAGUUUUGUAAAGGAAAUCAUAUUUAUUAUUAAUUAAAUACAUUUUUAUUGGCUUAAAAAUAGGCAUAUUUUAAACUGUUUUGUUGAAUUGAUCUGGAUGUACUGGACACAUUUAAAUUUUACUUAAAUGUUAGAAAGUUUAUAUUACAAUAAUACGUAAUUAUUUUACGGUAUUUAAAGAUUUUGUAUAAUCAUCGUCUUUAAUGCAUACUGCAGCCAGUCUGCAGGCUUGCAGUAUUCGUGUGGUCUCUUUGAAAUGUGAAUUCUGUGUGGGAGGCCUCUCUGUUCAUCUUCCAUUUCAUGUUGAUCAUUUGGUGAAGUAAGAAGAUAUCAGGUAUUCUAGAUAUGUCCUUUCCCAACUAGAAUGUACAUGAUACAUAUUGCCUAAUUCUAAAUGUUCUGAUACUUGAUUACAUAUUCAGAACUUCUUACGCAGAUCAAAUCUUUCAUCAGACAGUGGGGUUGUUCAGAUCUAGGGCACGUCUUUGAGAGCUUAUUUCUAUGGUGGGCAGAGCAGAAAAAUAAUGAGGAUUGACCUGUUAGUCUCCCAUUGCAUCAGUUUGACUGAAAUUAGAGGCAGAUUUGGGAUGAAAGGUUCGCGGUAUACAGAUUGUCUGAAAAUGAUCACUUCAGUGUGCAUAACCACACUGAUCAAACAUGAUUUAUCUUAUCGGUGAAGUUGUCUGAUCUGCAGGGUUGGUUUUUGGCUUCUUUAUGACUGUCUUUCUCUAAAUCUGUUCAUCACUGUGUAGGUUGGUUGACAUGUUGAUUUUUACAUGGAUUUUCAAGUGCGUAAAAUUAGCAUGACACGAAUGAAAACAUUUAGUCUUUCUGUCUUUACUUUUGCCAAACAUCCCAGUACCUUACAAAUAAUUUUAUUUACUCAAGACUUUGUAAGCAAU